This 73-nucleotide ribosomal RNA is filed under the name Rhodostemonodaphne kunthiana. RNAcentral describes it as "partial 5.8S ribosomal RNA". It matches the Rfam family "5.8S ribosomal RNA", at positions 87 to 154 of the family's 154-position model. Rfam says of the family: 5.8S ribosomal RNA (5.8S rRNA) is a component of the large subunit of the eukaryotic ribosome. It is transcribed by RNA polymerase I as part of the 45S precursor that also contains 18S and 28S rRNA. Lineage: Eukaryota; Viridiplantae; Streptophyta; Magnoliopsida; Laurales; Lauraceae. The record is from RNAcentral.
AACCAUCGAGUCUUUGAACGCAAGUUGCGCCCGAGGCCACUCGGCCGAGGGCACGCCUGCCUGGGCGUCACGC